This is a long non-coding RNA of Centropristis striata (black sea bass), 563 nucleotides long. RefSeq lists it as uncharacterized. The transcript has 3 exons. Lineage: Eukaryota; Metazoa; Chordata; Actinopteri; Perciformes; Serranidae. The record is from RefSeq and is a predicted model, not a curated record.
ACUGUUGCUGCAGACACUUGAUCAGCGUGGAUGAUGCUCGUGAAUGUGUCAAAAACAAGAGGAAACAAUUGAAAGAAGAUCAGAAGAAUCAUGUGAUUAUGUGAAAGUGUUAUCUAUCUCAACUCUAACUUCAAGCUAAACUCUCGUCCUCUCCUGUCCUCAUGCCCUCACACGUCCGCGCCCUCUUGAACUCUUUGCAGAACUCUCAGAAUGCGGCGCGCACCUUUCACACCGUGAGAAGACAAUUGGUUCAAAGAGGCCGCCGGCCUUUGACGUCGCACUACAAAGCCAGGGUUUAUCGACGAGUUAUGCCUCAGUAAACUGAGCAACCAACAGGCUUGUUGGGACACAUGUAGUUCCAGGGACGCUGUCCACCAGCAGCCUGGAGAACAACGUCCAGACCGGCUGAUAAAUGAUCGGGGUGCACAAUGGGCUUUCUGUGCCGUGAAAAUCAACUCUGCGUUUGACUCUUUCCACUCCUCUCAUCAGGCAUGUAUCAGCACUUUUAGGAGCUGGAGCAUUUUCAGGAGAAAAUGCUAUUGUUUGCUGAGGCCAGAAGUCAU